RNAcentral lists this ribosomal RNA (446 nucleotides) under uncultured bacterium. RNAcentral's name for it is "partial 16S ribosomal RNA". It matches the Rfam family "Bacterial small subunit ribosomal RNA", at positions 338 to 795 of the family's 1533-position model. The record is from RNAcentral.
CCUACGGGCGGCAGCAGUCGAGAAUCAUUCACAAUGGGGGAAACCCUGAUGGUGCGACGCCGCGUGGGGGAAUGAAGGUCUUCGGAUUGUAAACCCCUGUCAUGUGGGAGCAAAUUAAAAAGAUAGUACCACAAGAGGAAGAGACGGCUAACUCUGUGCCAGCAGCCGCGGUAAUACAGAGGUCUCAAGCGUUGUUCGGAACCACUGGGCGUAAGGCGUGCGUAGGCUGUUUCGUAAGUCGUGUGUGAAAGGCGCGGGCUCAACCCGCGGACGGCACAUAAUACUGCGAGACUAGAGUAAUGGAGGGGGAACCGGAAUUCUCGGUGUAGCAGUGAAAUGCGUAGAUAUCGAGAGGAACACUCGUGGCGAAGGCGGGUUCCUGGACAUUAACUGACGCUGAGGCACGAAGGCCAGGGGAGCGAAAGGGAUUAGAUACCCUGGUAGUC